RNAcentral lists this ribosomal RNA (407 nucleotides) under uncultured bacterium. RNAcentral's name for it is "partial 16S ribosomal RNA". It matches the Rfam family "Bacterial small subunit ribosomal RNA", at positions 30 to 526 of the family's 1533-position model. The record is from RNAcentral.
AUUGAACGCUGGCGGCAGGCCUAACAAAUGCAAGUCGAGCGGAGCGGAGGACGGGUGAGUAAUGCCUAGGAAUCUGCCUGGUAGGGGGGGAUAACGUCCGGAAACGGGAGCUAAUACCGGCUAAUAUCAGAUGAGCCUAGGUCGGAUAAGCUAGUUGGUGGGAUAAAGGCAUACCAAGGCGACGAUCCGUAACUGUUCUGAGAGGAUGAUCAGUCACACUGGAACUUGGACACGGUCCAGACUCCUACGGGAGGCAGCAGUGGGGAUUAUUGGACAAUGGGCGAAAGCCUGAUCCAGCCAUGCCGCGUGUGUGAAGAAGGUCUUCGGAUUGUAAAGCACUUUAAGUUGGGAGGCGUUACCAACAGAAUAAGCACCGGCUAACUUCGUGCCAGCCGCCGCGGUAAUAC